Molecule: non-coding RNA, 2693 nt
Organism: Oryzias latipes (Japanese medaka)
Lineage: Eukaryota; Metazoa; Chordata; Actinopteri; Beloniformes; Adrianichthyidae
Source: RefSeq, a predicted model, not a curated record
GGGUACUACUAGGCGGGUAUAUUUAUUAGGUUUUUACAUCUGUGAUGUCAUAACAAAAGUAGUGAGCAUAGUGUCUGGAUUGCUUUUUAAAAGCCAGGCCUCUAGAUAGUCUUGUACUGUACAGUUUUUUAGUAUAGAGGGAGGGAAUUUCGACAUGGCAUAAAUUUUCACUGACCCAUCUGUACAAGGCCAAUGCAUUUGGCAUUUGAUUAUAUUUUAAGAUGCCAGUUUCCAGAAAAUAUUUAUUUCAAAUAAAUCAGUAGCUUAACAUCACCAAGUAGGAAUGUGGAGCGAAUGAAUAAUGGACACACUGUGACUGCAAGCACUUUAAGCGUCUGGAAAAGCGCAGAUAAAUCCAAUCCCUUAUUAUUAUUAAGUGGAACCUGAAAACCGGAUGCUUACAUCAGUCUUGUCUGACCUUUAAAGUGAAUACUACAAAAGAAAAUCAUACGAUAGUUGUAAAAACUGAUGUUUUCUACAUAUAAUAAUGUGCGUCACUUUCCACACUGAGAUACGGAGACUUAAUCUAUUUAAAAAAAAAAAGUUCUUUAUUUUGGUUACUGUAGACCGUAACCAACGCCGUACAGCUUGCCCCAAAACUCGUAUCUCUCUAAACAGAGAAAACGCUCCGCAACUUUAACUGCCUUGUGCCGCACCUGCCCUCCUAUUUCCUUACUCGGCCAAUAGCUGAACCUGUAAGCCCAAACCCCCGACGACAGGCUGAGUGACAGAACUGAGGACAAACCAGCGCCUUUGGCUGAUGUGUUCAAUGAACCCCAGAAAAAUCAUCCUCAAGGGGAAACAAAGCCACUCAGAUGAGCAGGUGGUCAGCCAGCUUUCUGUGGCCAUGCACACUUUGUGAGGCCAGUGGAAGUGACCCCAAGCGACCCAGACCCAUCAGGAGGAGUGGAGUGUGCAGCACCUGUGGGGGAAUUUCAGCCACAAAAUUCAUAACGGUUCUGUUUGAAAGUCUAAAUGAAACGGGAGCACUUGCUGUAGUCUCCCGCAUCUCCACUGCGGGUGUUUUUAACCUUGUAGCACCUCUGUAAGGAGCCAGCCUGUAUCGACAUAGUGCCACUUUCCUGCCCCUAGGGGUAGUUGAACCCAGUAAACCACCUCACCCAGCCUCUCCAAUAUCUCGCAAGGGCCACCCAGUCACUGUUCAGUUUUGGACGCUUGCCUUUCUUCCUUUGGGGACUGAAGACACUCACACCAACUCUCCCACCUGCAAGUGAUGCACAUCAUAAUUUCUUUUCUGUCUCUGUCCAGGACUCAACAGCUUGUUCCUUGCAAAGUUGUGAGCAGACUCCAGCCGUUCCCGCAGCUUCCUUGAAUAGUCAGACCCCAGGGGGUCCCUGGGCAUGUCUGGGGGCUUUUUGAUUCCCAUCUCUGCCUGUGUACAUAUCUCUCUGCCUAGCAUCAGUAAGGCAGGAGAACAGGAAGUUGAGUUCUUGGCUGGUGACCUGUAAGCCAUGAGCAACAGGGUACAUUGGUAUCCCAGUCCCGCUGAUGUUAAUCUGUGAAGGGGGCCAGCUGUUCAGCCAAUGUGCGGUUAAACGGUUUCGAGCCCAUCACUCUGUGGAUGUAGGGGCAUAUGGGGUGGUACAGGUUUUGUGGGCACCCGGUUUUACACACAUAGCUGCAAAAUCUUUGGACUCAAAGUUUCUUCCCUGAUCCUUGUGAAUUACCUUUGGCACCCCAAGCCUACUGAACAUCCCCUCCACCAGUACAUCCACCACAGUCUCUGCUUCUUGGUUAGGCGGGCAGUAUGCCUUAGGCCACUGAGUGAAAUAAUCCAUUGCAAUGAUAAUAAAAUGGUUAACCUUUUCUGAGCAAGGAAAGGGGCCUAAGACAUCAAUCCCCACUCUCUCCAUGGGACAGCCUACAGGAAACUAUUGGAAGGGGCCAUGUGAAUGACCCACUGCUGUGCAGGAGUCACACUUUAUGCAAAAUUCUUCCACGUCUAGAGGACUCUGCCCCAAGUAGAAGCCUUGUCUGAGCCUGCGGAGAGUUCUGGAGACCCCAAAGUGUCCGAAACAUGGGACCUGUGCAUUGCUUGAAGAACAGUGAGCUGCAGGUUUUUUGGCACCACCAGCUGCCAACUUACCUCACCUGCAACUGGUUCCUUCAAGCCUCUCUACAGCACCCCAUCACACAGACGUAAAGAGUCGAACACGGACCACAGACCUUUAGUUGUUCGAGAGAGCAUGGAGAUUUCCUCCCAGGACGGCCUUCACUGCUCCUCGAUCAAUGAGAGGACAUGAUCAUGGAUCAGCGUCCUCUUGCUUUUGAUGUCUCCACUCUGCAGUAUCAACAGAGGUCACCGGCGGGAACAGUCUCCAGAGUACUGAAUGCACUCCAUCUCCCAGCAACCCCAGUGCACACUUCCCGGCACACUUCAGCCUUACUUCCCAAGCGUUAUAUUUGGACCUGCUGUUCUGUCUCCUGACUCUGUACCUGACUCUGUUUGCCUGCCGCCUACCCGACUCUCGCCUGACUACUCUGUCUCUCCUCUGAUGAUCUUAUGCCUGUAAUCGACCCCUGCCUGCCUGACCCUUAUUUAGCUUUGUGGACUUUUAGCUGAGCUAAUAAACCUGCUACAUUUGGAUCCAGCAGUCUGCCUGCUCUUGUAACACCAAUGGAAUUACGCAAAUAAAGUUGCCAUUUUUUUGCGGUACAGACACUACCAGAAA